RNAcentral lists this ribosomal RNA (250 nucleotides) under uncultured archaeon. RNAcentral's name for it is "partial 16S ribosomal RNA". The record is from RNAcentral.
CUGUCCUGGAGAUGAGUCUGUGAGAGGUGACGAAGGAGUGCUUGCUUGUAUGCAUCAGCUGAAAUUGAUGAGACGUAGCUGACCGUGACGUGGUGUUCACCAUCGGCAAGGGUCGAGUAAAAGCUGCCAAGGCAUGUGUUGCUCGUGACAAUGAAUUCUCGACGCAUCGUGACGAUCGUUGUGGCUAGUUCAGCAAGCUUGAUAUCCCAGACGAAUAAUUGAUUUUCCCAAGCAUCAGUGUCGAUCAUCU